UGCCAGCCGCCGCGGUAAUACGGAGGGUGCAAGCGUUGUUCGGAAUUACUGGGCGUAAAGCGCGCGUAGGCGGCUUUUUAAGUCAGAUGUGAAAGUCCACGGCUCAACCGUGGAAGUGCAUUUGAAACUGGGGAGCUUGAGUACUGGAGGGGAUGGUGGAAUUCCCGGUGUAGAGGUGAAAUUCGUAGAUAUCGGGAGGAAUACCGGUGGCGAAGGCGACCAUCUGGACGAGUACUGACGCUGAGGUACGAAAGCGUGGGGAGCAAACAGGAUUAGAUA
RNAcentral lists this ribosomal RNA (279 nucleotides) under uncultured bacterium. Its description in RNAcentral is "partial 16S ribosomal RNA". It matches the Rfam family "Bacterial small subunit ribosomal RNA", at positions 506 to 784 of the family's 1533-position model. The record is from RNAcentral.